This 432-nucleotide ribosomal RNA is filed under the name uncultured bacterium. RNAcentral describes it as "bacterial SSU rRNA". It matches the Rfam family "Bacterial small subunit ribosomal RNA", at positions 48 to 524 of the family's 1533-position model. The record is from RNAcentral.
UUAACACAUGCAAGUCGAGCGGGCGUAGCAAUACGUCAGCGGCAGACGGGUGAGUAACGCGUGGGAACAUACCUUUUGGUUCGGAACAACACAGGGAAACUUGUGCUAAUACCGGAUAAGCCCUUCCGGGGAAAGAUUUAUCGCCGAAAGAUUGGCCCGCGUCUGAUUAGCUAGUUGGUGAGGUAACGGCUCACCAAGGCGACGAUCAGUAGCUGGUCUGAGAGGAUGAUCAGCCACAUUGGGACUGAGACACGGCCCAAACUCCUACGGGAGGCAGCAGUGGGGAAUAUUGGACAAUGGGCGCAAGCCUGAUCCAGCCAUGCCGCGUGAGUGAUGAAGGCCCUAGGGUUGUAAAGCUCUUUUGUGCGGGAAGAUAAUGACGGUACCGCGAGAAUAAGCCCCGGCUAACUUCGUGCCAGCAGCCGCGGUAAU